CCUCGACCAAGUUACUUAACAGGAAUGCGCAGAGUUUGUUCUUUAGAGUUCAGGCCUCACCUGAUGAAUUCUCCAGAUUCUGGAUUAGCUGAUCCUCUUUUAGGUUCUGCUGGAUCUUCUGGGGGUUCAGAGCGCAGUUUACUUCCGCAAUCAAUUAUUUAUAAUUGGAGCUGUGGUCACUUCUCAAAGCCUCUUCUUAAUACAGCAGAUGAUACUGAAGAAAUGUUGGUUAGAAGAGAAGAAAGGGAAAAGUUUGCACUGGAGCACAUUGCCAAGUGUCAACACUCAUCUGUUAGCAGGUUAGAUAAUCAAAUUGCUGGUUGGGACACAAAGUUUGAAACAGGAACAAAGGCAGCGUUGUUGCAGCCUUUCUCUCCUAUUGUCAUUGCUGCUGAUGAAAAUGAGCGGAUAAAGAUAUGGAAUUAUGAGGAUGCAGUCCUUCUCAACGGAUUUGAUAAUCAUAAUUUUCCUGACAAAGGAAUUUCUAAACUCUGCCUUGUAAAUGAACUUGAUGACAGUUUGCUUCUUGUUGCUUCAUGUGAUGGAAGUAUUCGGAUUUGGAAAGAUUAUGCACUCAACGGUAAACAAAAACUUGUUACUGCAUUUUC
This 608-nucleotide unclassified non-coding RNA is filed under the name Hevea brasiliensis (rubber tree). Lineage: Eukaryota; Viridiplantae; Streptophyta; Magnoliopsida; Malpighiales; Euphorbiaceae. The record is from RNAcentral.